CAUCAAAUAGCUUAAAGUAAGCAUGAGCCUCUUAAGCUUUGUGAAUGUCAAUUUACGACUGACUUUGAUG
This 70-nucleotide transfer RNA is filed under the name Ceriodaphnia cornuta. RNAcentral describes it as "tRNA-Lys". The record is from RNAcentral. Lineage: Eukaryota; Metazoa; Arthropoda; Branchiopoda; Diplostraca; Daphniidae.